This 1222-nucleotide long non-coding RNA is filed under the name Pongo abelii (Sumatran orangutan). RNAcentral describes it as "lincRNA". Lineage: Eukaryota; Metazoa; Chordata; Mammalia; Primates; Hominidae. The record is from RNAcentral.
AAGCAGGAUCUGUCUCACCAUACACUGAGAACUGUAGAAUAUGCAAGGCACAUGGAACUUAUUUUCUUACAUAUAAAAGCAUGUAUAUGCUCCUUAUACAUCUGUCCUAAUGCUUUCCAACAGUCCUCACUCUAAGCCUCACCAAGACCCAGAUGAGGAAACAAAGGCGCAGAGGGAUAAACUCAGAGCAGGAAGACAGCAAGGAAGAGCAGUGAAAAGCCUGGUGCUUAAUCCAACCCCUUACUCACUGCUGAGACCUGGAAAUUUGUUCAUCAGCUACAAAACAGGAGAGAUGAUAACUCAUUAUGUAUGUGUGAUGAUAAACAGAGACAAUAUAUUGAAGAGCUUAUAUGAGUGGCAGACAUGGGACAUGCUUCCCUGUGGCUGGCCAGCCUGUCAUCUUCUCCACCAUGUGUCCAGAGAAAAGCUUUGCAAAUCAACCUCUCGAUGAAUGAUGAUGGCACCAGUGAAAUCAGGGGAGGCAGAAAAUCAUGUUAGUUUGGUUUAUAAUGCAAGAAGUUACAGAAUACAGAGUGCUCAAAACUAAGAAUGUGCUAGUUGUAUAACAGGGUCCUUCUUGGAACUCAGCCAGGAUUCAAACUAUAAAGGAAAAUCGGGUGAGCAGGUGGAAUAGUCAAGUGAUUCUAUUUGCAUGAAUAAAUUGUGAGAUGAUACCUUCUUGUCCAGGAACAUUGAGCAGUGCUCGUGCUGGGUGGAUUGUGAUGUGGAAACCCUGGGAGAUGUCACGCCUGAUAUCAACUUUCUCCCAGGUGACAGCUGCACCCUCUAAAGGCUUCUCAAGUGACAGAGCUCAAUGAGUAUAGAAGGGAAAAGUAUGAGGAUGACCUAUGAGCACAGAGUGGACAGUCUCUGCGGUGGGUAGGCAUUAGCAAAGGAGAGACCUUCUGUAUUAUGCAGAAUGGAAUUUUCCAGCGGCUACAUGAUGAGUGACGUCACGACAGAUUGAGUACAGAGCCAACUAUGAGAAUCCAGCUGCCUUCUAUUAAGGUACCCUUUCUGUGGGUACCUUCAAGCUCCAGCACCAAAUAUGAAGGUGACUGCCAUCACCAGCUCCCACCCCUACAUGAGGUCAAAUCCCUGGAUGGCAUAUAACACACUAGAGCAAUUAAGAGGAUCUAACUAAAGAUGGGGAAGGAAAAAUGUGUGUACAGAGACAGGAAGUCAUGGACACAGUUAUAUUGAAAGAUACAAUGACCUUCUC